Ficedula albicollis (Collared flycatcher) is the source of this 190-nucleotide long non-coding RNA. RefSeq lists it as uncharacterized. The transcript has 3 exons. NCBI's taxonomy places the organism in Eukaryota, Metazoa, Chordata, Aves, Passeriformes, Muscicapidae. The record is from RefSeq and is a predicted model, not a curated record.
UAAGUAUCUGUGAUUGCUUCAACACGAGGUGCUAGCUUAGUUCUCCAAACAAAGUUAGCUCUUUGAAGAAAAGAACAGGAGAUCAUUAUGUGAAGGGAAAAGUGUAGAAGACUCAGGAAAUUCUUCUGUGCAUUACUGUGAUUCCUGAUUGACUUCGGGGCUUGAACACCAGACCAAUACAUACUUGGAG